This 301-nucleotide ribosomal RNA is filed under the name uncultured bacterium. RNAcentral describes it as "partial 16S ribosomal RNA". It matches the Rfam family "Bacterial small subunit ribosomal RNA", at positions 509 to 807 of the family's 1533-position model. The record is from RNAcentral.
CAGCAGCCACGGGAAUACAGAGGGUGCGAGCGUUAAUCGGAUUUACUGGGCGUAAAGCGUGCGUAGGCGGCUAAUUGAGUCGGAUGUGAAAUCCCCGAGCUUAACUUGGGAAUUGCAUUCGAUACUGGUUAGCUAGAGUGUGGGAGAGGAUGGUAGAAUUCCAGGUGUAGCGGUGAAAUGCGUAGAGAUCUGGAGGAAUACCGAUGGCGAAGGCAGCCAUCUGGCCUAACACUGACGCUGAGGUACGAAAGCAUGGGGAGCAAACAGGAUUAGAUACCCGGGUAGUCCCUAUCUCUUAUAC